CUUUUUGAAGGGAGGGCCUUUCAGCUUGGGGGAGAAGAGAGGCAUCUUGAAACUCAGACACACCAUGAAGUGCCUGCCUCCAGGGGAAGCUCAAUCAGCCUCUGGAUGAUGCUCAUGAG
This is a long non-coding RNA of Gavialis gangeticus (Gharial), 119 nucleotides long. RefSeq lists it as uncharacterized. NCBI's taxonomy places the organism in Eukaryota, Metazoa, Chordata, Crocodylia, Gavialidae. The transcript is spliced from 3 exons. The record is from RefSeq and is a predicted model, not a curated record.